GGUACUGCAUUCUCAAGCAUCAAUAAUAACACACACACACACAUAAAAGACAGACAUUGCUGUAUCUAUCCAUCUCAUCUCUGUGUAGAGUGGUGCAGCUUGUGAUGAGAAUCAAUGGUUACUUCCCUCCUUCACUACACUUCCAGAUCCUCUGAAUUUCUUCUGUUCAGGCAAGAGAAGAAAUUAUCAAAUUAAUGGAGUUCAUUUAUUUAUGCAAGUGUGAUUGUGGCAGAUGAAUGUGUGGGUCCCACUUGUUAGACAGCUGAGCAAGAGUGGCCAUUGAUUCUCAUCACAACGUGCUCCACUUUACCAGGCAACUCCAUUGGCUUUUUGCUCACAGUAUUCUUUUAUUGAAGUCAAUCUUAUACUAUACAUAGUGUCAUUAGUGUACAUUAAAUAUGGAUACUUCUCUUAACGUGGUUUAUCAUGUGUGGAACUAAUUUAUUCUACUAGACUCAAUUUUGUGGGUAAUUCCAUCAGUCCGUUGACAUUUUGCCUUUACUGAGAGCCAUAUGUAAUUGUUGCUCAGUGCUCACACCGCUAAGUGAUAAACUUUAAUUUGCAAUGAAGCAAAACUUAUAUCUUUCUUUCAGGAAUCAAAAAGCAUUCCUCAAGCAGUUCUGCUGCUGGACAGCUUAUUGACCAUUUCUUAAUCACUCAAACGCGACAAAGCAGAGCACUAAGAUUUGAAACAGGGGAGCAAGAUUUUGAACUUACCUUGUGGGAACCAGUUUUAAAUAUUUUCUUGAUAUUGUUGUAUAGGUACUAUGUAUUUCCGUUGCCUUCAGAUUUAUAUCAAACUUUAUAUUAUAUGUAUCUUUUAAUCUCAA
Long non-coding RNA from Prosopis cineraria, 830 nucleotides. RefSeq lists it as uncharacterized. The record is from RefSeq and is a predicted model, not a curated record. Lineage: Eukaryota; Viridiplantae; Streptophyta; Magnoliopsida; Fabales; Fabaceae. The transcript has 2 exons.